AUUGAACGCUGGCGGCAUGCCUUACACAUGCAAGUCGAACGGUAACGGGCCUUCGGGUGCCGACGAGUGGCGAACGGGGGAGUAAUACAUCGGAACGUGCCCGAUCGUGGGGGAUAACGAGGCGAAAGCUUUGCUAAUACCUCAUACGAUCUACGGAUGAAAGCCGGGGAGCGCAAGGCCUUGCGCGGACGGAGCGGCCGAUGGCAGAUUAGGUAGUUGGUGAGGUAAAAGCUUACCAAGCCGACGAUCUGUAGCUGGUCUGAGAGGAUGAUCAGCCACACUGGGACUGAGACACGGCCCAGACUCCUACGGGAGGCAGCAGUGGGGAAUUUUGGACAAUGGGCGCAAGCCUGAUCCAGCCAUGCCGCGUGCAGGAUGAAGGCCUUCGGGUUGUAAACUGCUUUUGUACGGAACGAAAAGCCUUCUUUUAAUACAGGAGGGUCAUGACGGUACCGUAAGAAUAAGCGCCGGCUAACUACGUG
RNAcentral lists this ribosomal RNA (482 nucleotides) under uncultured bacterium. RNAcentral describes it as "partial 16S ribosomal RNA". It matches the Rfam family "Bacterial small subunit ribosomal RNA", at positions 30 to 507 of the family's 1533-position model. The record is from RNAcentral.